Molecule: non-coding RNA, 1892 nt
Organism: Lactuca sativa (garden lettuce)
Lineage: Eukaryota; Viridiplantae; Streptophyta; Magnoliopsida; Asterales; Asteraceae
Source: RefSeq, a predicted model, not a curated record
UUCACCGUUUUGUCGCCCAAUCAGGUUUAGAUUUCUGUUUCUGAACCUUUCUCUACCGCCUCAUCUCAACACCGUCUAUUGUACCCUCUGCUCCCCCACCCACUGUCUCCAUUUACGUCUCCUCCACCGAUUAGCGUAAGUGGGAGAAGAAGACGCCUCCACCGAUUCCGCUCAAUAUCGGUAAGUGGGAGAAGAUGUCCGCAGGUUGGCGAUGAAUGGAUCGACAACGCCUUCCAUCAUCUUCACCAGGUCGAUGGUUCUUCUGCCUCACGCAACCGUCUGGUUACCCGACUUUCUCUCUCUCUCCUUUAAUUCUCUUCUUCUGCAAUUCUGAUCCCGACCGUCUGGUUACCCGCUUCUGUUGUUUCUCUUUAUUUUUAUCUCUUCCUUCGUUUUGGGGUAUGAUUUCGUCGCCCUGUAGAGGAUUGAUGCAAAAUAACUUCAAAUCACAGGAAUAGAUUUGGGGAAAGGUUUCAUCGGAGAUAACAGGUGAGAUUCGAUCUCUAGAAACACCACACAACUACGAACGAAGAGAAAAUAUGGGAGAAGAACAACAACAUCAAGACGAUAAAGAGAACAAGGACUUAGACAUUACUUUUAUCUGUGGUAAAUUACAUGAUGAAGUCAGCAACACAUGUAUUUCAUUGUACAUAUAUUAACAUCAAUUUUUUAAACCAUUCAUUUGUUAGAAGAACUCCCAAAAGAUAAUGAAAAUUUGAUGAUUUACAUUGUCUGUUAUCUAGCAAGCCAGGUACCAUUUUUUGUUUUCUAUAUUUUUUUAGUUAUAUCUUCUACUAUGAAAUCAUAUUUGUAGGUAUUUUCACAUUCAUCCAUUAGUAUCACGUCUAUGUGCAUCAAUCUAUUGUACAACCCAGGUUCUUUAGUUCUUCAUCCUUUCAAGAUAAAUUGCUUGCUAAUCUUUUGGAGCCACUAAUAUGUGAAGUCUUCAUCGAAUAUUCACAAAAUUCAGCCUGGAAAGAAUAAAUUAGAGUCCACUGAGGAUGUUAUGUUGGAGCAAAGAAUAAAUUAGAGUACACUGAAAAAGAUCUAAUAGAAAAAGAAGAGGAACUUCAAGAUUUGGAAGCGCUUAAUGCCUUAAUCAAGCAUUGAUAAUCAAAGAAAGAUCAAGCAAUGAUUAAUUACAGGGUGCUCGCAAAGAGUUGAUUUCUGUAGCAGUUGGCUACGAAACUAAUGAAUCUGCUAGAAGAUAAUAAAGAUUGAGGAUGUUUGAAUGCAGAGGACGAACAAAAUGAGAAUUACCAAAUUUCAUGGUAAGAAAAUCCAAAUCACAAUUGGACAAAUUACAUUAUGUACUUUUGAAUACCAAUUGGUUCAUUUGGAAGUACUCGAUGAUCUGAAUUGAGAAUAUGAUAGAUGAAUUCUUAUUGAAUUCUAACACAAAAAAAUAUAUUUUGAAGUGCAUCAGGUAUGAUAUUAGUCUUCAAUAUAAACAAACAGAAUGUUAAAAUGGUCAUUUACUACUUUUUUGUUUCUGUCAAGUUCAGGCCCUUGCAUCUGAAAGAGAACUUAUAUUCAUGUUGCUCAACCCGAAUGAUCCAACAAUGGAGCACAUAAAUUCCAAUAAUUUUCAUAGCACAUUUGCUGCUUUGAACCCAUCCUUCUAGAGCAAUUGAUCAGAACAGAACAGAGAAAGCUAUAAUGUUUUUUGUGGAUUAAGAAAUGGAGUUGUUAAGACUAUUGAGUCUCGCCAAAAAUUUAAUGAUAAUGAGAGUAUAUUUGUCUUUUUUCUUUUGGUAGUUGUAUACAUCUUAUUCUACUCUUUUGGAUACAAUAUUUGAUCUCCUAUAAAAAGAUGUAAAAACAUGACAUUUAACCUAUUUUUCUUGCUUUGUGUGUUAUUAAUAUUAGAUGAGUAAGUGGAUUUAACUUGA